GUACCUGCAGAAUAAGCACCGGCUAACUACGUGCCAGCAGCCGCGGUAAUACGUAGGGUGCAAGCGUUAAUCGGAAUUACUGGGCGUAAAGCGUGCGCAGGCGGUUCGGAAAGAAAGAUGUGAAAUCCCAGAGCUUAACUUUGGAACUGCAUUUUUAACUACCGGGCUAGAGUGUGUCAGAGGGAGGUGGAAUUCCGCGUGUAGCAGUGAAAUGCGUAGAUAUGCGGAGGAACACCGAUGGCGAAGGCAGCCUCCUGGGAUAACACUGACGCUCAUGCACGAAAGCGUGGGGAGCAAACAGGAUUAGAUACCCUGGUAGUCCACGCCCUAAACGAUGUCAACUAGCUGUUGGGGCCUUCGGGCCUUGGUAGCGCAGCUAACGCGUGAAGUUGACCGCCUGGGGAGUACGGUCGCAAGAUUAAAACUCAAAGGAAUUGACGGGGACCCGCACAAGCGGUGGAUGAUGUGGAUUAAUUCGAUGCAACGCGAAAACCUUACCUACCCUUGACAUGUCUGGAAUGCCGAAAGAUUUGGCAGUGCUCGCAGAGAACC
RNAcentral lists this ribosomal RNA (552 nucleotides) under Achromobacter xylosoxidans. Its description in RNAcentral is "bacterial SSU rRNA". It matches the Rfam family "Bacterial small subunit ribosomal RNA", at positions 475 to 1028 of the family's 1533-position model. Lineage: Bacteria; Pseudomonadati; Pseudomonadota; Betaproteobacteria; Burkholderiales; Alcaligenaceae. The record is from RNAcentral.